CCGUCAAUUCCUUUGAGUUUUAACCUUGCGGCCGUAGUCCCCAGGCGGUAGACUUAUCGCGUUAGCUACGACACCGAUGACGAUUAAGCCACCGACGCCAAGUCUACAUCGUUUAGGGCUAGGACUACCGGGGUCUCUAAUCCCGUUUGCUACCCUAGCUUUCGCGUCUGAGUGUCAGGAAUGGUCCAGGAGGCCGCUUUCGCCACUGGUGUUCCUCCAGAUAUCUGCGCAUUCCACCGCUACACCUGGAAUUCCACCUCCCUCUACCAUCCUCUAGUUCUGUAGUUUAGAACGGCCUCUCCCAGUUGAGCCAGGAGCUUUCACGCCCUACUUACAGUACCACCUACACGCGCUUUACGCCCAGUAAAUCCGGAUAACGUUUGCCUCCUACGUGUUACCGCGGCUGCUGGCACGUAGUUAGCCGAGACUUAUUCUGGAAGUACAUUCCUUCCUAUUCCUUCCAAAAAGUGCUUUACGACCCGAAGGCCUUCUUCGCACACGCGGUGUUGCUAGAUCAGACUUUCGUCCAUUUCUAAUAUUCCCUACUGCUGCCUCCCGUAGGAGU
RNAcentral lists this ribosomal RNA (565 nucleotides) under uncultured bacterium. Its description in RNAcentral is "partial 16S ribosomal RNA". The record is from RNAcentral.